UAGGGAAUAUUGGUCAAUGGUGGGAACACUGAACCAGCCAUGCCGCGUGCAGGAAGAAGGCCUCUGGGUCGUAAACUGCUUUUGACCGGGGACGUGUACCGGUAGAAUAAGCCACGGCUAACUACGUGCCAGCAGCCGCGGUAAUACGUAGGUGGCAAGCGUUGUCCGGAUUUAUUGGGUUUAAAGGUGCGUAGGCGGCCCGAUAAGUCAGCGGUGAAAUACCCAGGCCUAACCUGGGGGGUGCCGUUGAUACUGUCGGGCUUGGGUUCUGUAGAGGCAGGCGGAAUUGACGGUGUAGCGGUGAAAUGCAUAGAUAUCGUCAAGAACACCGAUAGCGAAGGCAGCCUGCUGGGCAGAUACCGACGCUGAGGCACGAAAGUGUGGGGAUCAAACAGGAUUAGAUACCCUAGUAGU
Molecule: ribosomal RNA, 414 nt
Filed under: uncultured bacterium
Lineage: Bacteria
Description: bacterial SSU rRNA
Rfam family: Bacterial small subunit ribosomal RNA
Source: RNAcentral